UACGAAGGGGGCUAGCGUUGCUCGGAUUGACUGGGCGUAAGGGGCGCGUAGGCGGUUCGUACAGUCAGACGUGAAAUUCCUGGGCUCAACCUGGGGGCUGCGUUUGAUACGUGCGGACUUGAGUGCGGAAGAGGGUCGUGGAAUUCCCAGUGUAGAGGUGAAAUUCGUAGAUAUUGGGAAGAACACCGAUGGCGAAGGCAGCCAUCUGGACCGACACUGACGCUGAGGCGCGAAAGCGUGGGGAGCAAACAGG
Molecule: ribosomal RNA, 253 nt
Filed under: uncultured bacterium
Lineage: Bacteria
Description: partial 16S ribosomal RNA
Rfam family: Bacterial small subunit ribosomal RNA
Source: RNAcentral